CCCGCUGAACUUAAGCAUAUCAAUAAGCGGAGGAAAAGAAACUAACAAGGAUUCCCCUAGUAACGGCGAGUGAAGAGGGAAGAGCUCAAAUUUUGAAUCUGGCACCUUUGGUGUCUGAGUUGUAAUCUAGAGAAGUGCUUUCUGUGGCGGACCGUGCACAAGUCUCCUGGAAUGGAGCGUCAUAGAGGGUGAGAAUCCCGUCUUUGGCAUGGAUCCCUGGUGCUUCUGUGAUGCGCUCUCGAAGAGUCGAGUUGUUUGGGAAUGCAGCUCAAAAUGGGUGGUGAACUCCAUCUAAAGCUAAAUAUUGGCGAGAGACCGAUAGCGAACAAGUACCGUGAGGGAAAGAUGAAAAGCACUUUGGAAAGAGAGUGAAACAGUACGUGAAAUUGUUGAAAGGGAAACGCUUGAAGUCAGUCGCGUCGACCGAGACUCAGCCUUGCCUUGGCUUGGUGUACUUCUCGGCCCGACGGGUCAACAUCAAUUUUGCCCCUCGGAUAAUGGCAAGGGAAAGGUGGCACCUUUACGGGUGUGUUAUAGUCUCCUGUCGCAUGCGAGGGGCGGGAUUGAGGAACUCAGCACGCGCCUCGGUGUCGGGGCUUCGGCCCACGUUCACGUGCUUAGGAUGUUGGCGUAAUGGCUUUAAACGACCCGUCUUGAAACACGG
This 664-nucleotide ribosomal RNA is filed under the name uncultured fungus. Its description in RNAcentral is "eukaryotic LSU rRNA". It matches the Rfam family "Eukaryotic large subunit ribosomal RNA", at positions 24 to 664 of the family's 3401-position model. The record is from RNAcentral. Lineage: Eukaryota; Fungi.